RNAcentral lists this ribosomal RNA (396 nucleotides) under uncultured bacterium. Its description in RNAcentral is "bacterial SSU rRNA". It matches the Rfam family "Bacterial small subunit ribosomal RNA", at positions 28 to 429 of the family's 1533-position model. The record is from RNAcentral.
GACGAACGCUGGCGGCGUGCUUAACACAUGCAAGUCGAGCGGUAAGGCCCUUUCGGGGGUACACGAGCGGCGAACGGGUGAGUAACACGUGGGUGACCUGCCCUCAGCUCUGGGAUAAGCCUGGGAAACCGGGUCUAAUACUGGAUAUGACUCCAUGACGCAUGUUGUGGGGUGGAAAGCCUUGUGCGGCUGAGGAUGGGCCCGCGGCCUAUCAGCUUGUUGGUGGGGUGANGGCCUACCAAGGCGACGACGGGUAGCCGGCCUGAGAGGGCGACCGGCCACACUGGGACUGAGACACGGCCCAGACUCCUACGGGAGGCAGCAGUGGGGAAUCUUGCGCAAUGAGCGAAAGCCUGACGCAGCGACGCCGCGUGAGGGAUGACGGCCUGGUGUAAC